RNAcentral lists this long non-coding RNA (2088 nucleotides) under Cavia porcellus (domestic guinea pig). RNAcentral's name for it is "lncRNA (ENSCPOG00000001219.4)". The record is from RNAcentral. Lineage: Eukaryota; Metazoa; Chordata; Mammalia; Rodentia; Caviidae.
AACGCUAGAGGAGACCGUGCAUAGCCUUGUGCUCUCCCUGCUCAGCGCUGCGGCAUCUCCUGCUGGGAAGUGUUCAUGACCCACCUGGAGUUUCUGUUCACCGAUAGCGGCUUGUCCACUGCUGACAUCGGGGAGCGGGCCCAGGCCUUGCACCUCCUUGAGACCCUGAGGACGGAUCCAGAAGCCUUCCAUAGGCACAUGGCCAAGUACAUCUACCCUUCCAUUGGUGGCCGUGACCACGAGAGGCUGCUGUAUUAUUUCACUCUGCUAGACAGCUGUGGCUGCACGGACCAGGGGGACUCAGCCCUGAAGCCCGAGACCCACGUGCGCCUGCUAAAGAAGCUAAAAGUUGUUGCGGCAGGUCUUGACUAUAAAAAGCUGACAGAUGGAAGCACAAGCCCUCUUGAAGCCUUGGAGCCAGUUCUUUCAAGUCAGAAUAUCUUAGCUAUUUCCAAACUUGCUCCCAGCAUCCCCGAGAAGGAUGGAGGGACGCUGUCCCCAAGCUCGCUCUACACUGUCUGGCUGCAGAAACUAUUCUGGAUGGGGGACCCUCACCUGGUGCAGCAGGUCCCCGAGUCCUCCCUGGAGUGGCUGCAUGCCUACGAUGUCUGCGCAAGGUACUUUGACCGCCUGCAUCGGCGGGACCUCAUCACCGUGCUGGAUGCAAUCACAUUUUCUCCACAAGCCGUGGCCAAGCUGCCUAUGGACGUGCGAGAAGAGAUGACAAGGAGGGCCAUCGCCACAAUCACACGCCUUAUGGAGAAGCCACGGAAAAGGAAUGCAGAGGACAACACUCGGGAGGCCGGUGCCCCUGGGGUCACCUACACUGAGGUGCUGGAUCACCUGCAGAAGUCGCUUGCCCACCUGGGGACGCUGGGCCACAGCUUCAUCCUUGAGCUGCAGAAGAGUGAGCAGGUGGCCCUGCAGAGGUACCGUGAGCUGUAUGACCUGUCCCGCUCAGAAGAGGAGGCGCUCUGCAGUCUGGCCGUGAGCAUGUGUUUGGAUGGCCAGCCGCUGGCCAUGAUUCAGCAGCUGCUUGAGGUGGCAGUUGGGCCUCGGGACACAACCCUCAAGGAUGUUGUGCGAAGUGCCAUUGUGAAAAUAAUGUCUACGCUGAGUGGAGGUGGUGCCGACCUUGGUGGGACUGGAGACCCGCUUCAGGUCCUGGAAGGCGUGGUGGCAGCUGUGCAUGCCAGCGUGGAUGCCGGGGAGCAGCUGGUGGCCCCCGAGGACCUGCUGGAGUGGCUGCGGCCCUUCUGUGCAGAUGACACCCUGCCCGUGCAGCCUCGCGUCCGUGUGCUGCAGGUCUUGGAGCAGUCCUGCCACCUGACAGAGGAGGACAGCAGGCUCCUGGUGUUCUUCCGAACAGAGGCCAUCCUCAAGGCUGCCUGGCCUGGGAGGCAGGUGGACGUGGCUGACGUGGCGAGUGCAGAGCGGCGCUCUGCCCUGUUUGAAGAGCUGCUGGAGUGCAGCUGCUGCCAGGCCGAGUUCCAGCACCUGGCUGUGCUCUUGCAGGCCUGGCCCCCUCUGCAGAGUGACUGCACGGCUGGUGUGAUGGGAAACCCGUGGCUGAGACUGGCAACAGCGAUGCUGAUGCGGUGCCCGGCGCAGAGCAAGGAGGAUGUAGGGAACGAGGUGCUGAGAAUUUGUCGCUCUCUGCGCCUCUCUGAGCAGGCGCUGCCCGUGGAGGGUGUGAAGGAGCUGUGCCUGCUGCUGCGUGACCAGGCACUGCCACUGCUGUCCCUGAAGCUGCUGCUGGAGCAGCCGGAGCCUGAGCUGCACGCCCUGGCACAGGAGCAGGUCACCGCCAUCAUGCAGGUGGAUGAUGCCAAUUGCGACCCUGAGCUGCUGUCCUUGCUGCUGGAUGCCGGGCUGCUGGUGCCCUGUGUCCCCACCCCCUUCUACCCACGCCUCGUCCGCCACUUGCUGGCUGUACAGGGCCGCUGGGACAUGGAACAGCUGGCUGCACAACUCCAGGCGGCCGGCCAUGAGGCUGAGGCUGGGUCGCUGCUGCUGGCUGCACGGGACACUCACCGGGCCUUGCGGACUUUCCAUGCUGCCCUGGGUGCCGGGCAGCCGAGGGUGUGA